RNAcentral lists this ribosomal RNA (455 nucleotides) under uncultured bacterium. RNAcentral's name for it is "bacterial SSU rRNA". It matches the Rfam family "Bacterial small subunit ribosomal RNA", at positions 340 to 786 of the family's 1533-position model. The record is from RNAcentral.
UACGGGAGGCAGCAGUGGGGAAUAUUGCACAAUGGGCGAAAGCCUGAUGCAGCUAUGCCGCGUGUAUGAAGAAGGCCUUAGGGUUGUAAAGUACUUUCAUCGGGGAGGAAAAAACAAAACUAAUAAUUUUAUUUCUUGACGUUACUCGAAAAAGAAGCACCGGCUAACUCCGUGCCAGCAGCCGCGGUAAUACGGAGGGUGCUAGCGUUAAUCAGAAUUACUGGGCGUAAAGAGCACGUAGGUGGUUUUUUAAGUCAGAUGUGAAAUCCCUGGGCUUAACCUAGGAACUGCAUUUUGAAACUGAAAUACUAGAGUAUCGUAGAGGGAGGUAGAAUUCUAGGUGUAGCGGUGAAAUGCGUAGAUAUCUGGAGGAAUACCUGUGGCGAAAGCGGCCUCCUAAACGAAUACUGACACUGAGGUGCGAAAGCGUGGGGAGCAAACAGGGAUUAGAUACC